UGUAGGGAAGGGAUAAGCGCUGAAAGCAUCUAAGUGCGAAGCCCACCUCAAGAUGAGAUUUCCCAUGAUUUUAUAUCAGUAAGAGCCCUGAGAGAUGAUCAGGUAGAUAGGUUAGGAGUGUAAUUGUGGUGACACAUUUAGCGGACUAAUACUAAUAGCUCGAGGACUUAUCCAAAA
This 177-nucleotide ribosomal RNA is filed under the name Streptococcus agalactiae. RNAcentral's name for it is "partial 23S ribosomal RNA". It matches the Rfam family "Bacterial large subunit ribosomal RNA", at positions 2752 to 2925 of the family's 2925-position model. Lineage: Bacteria; Bacillati; Bacillota; Bacilli; Lactobacillales; Streptococcaceae. The record is from RNAcentral. RNAcentral also lists the same sequence under 1 other name.